Molecule: long non-coding RNA, 271 nt
Filed under: Amborella trichopoda
Lineage: Eukaryota; Viridiplantae; Streptophyta; Magnoliopsida; Amborellales; Amborellaceae
Description: long non-coding RNA (ATRI_LNC004073)
Source: RNAcentral
UAAGGGGGAGUACACCCCUAUUUAUAAAUAAAAUAUCUAGGGGUUUAUAAAAAUUUAAAUAAUAAUUCCAAAAUAAUUUUGAUAAUAAAAAUAAUAAUUAAAUUAAUUUGAUGGGAAAAUGAUCCAUAUGGUUUAAGAAUGAAAUCAGCAAUCAUGGGGCACUCUACCUUUAACUGUGGAUUACAGACCACACUUAUUUUAUUAGGCCGACCCAGUGUUUUUCAGGAUCUACAGUCCAAGCAUUGGCUCAUUAGCGGGUCACCAAAGUCUA